UGGGGAAUCUUGCGCAAUGCGCGAAAGCGUGACGCAGCAACGCCGCGUGGGGGAAGACGGCCUUCGGGUUGUAAACCCCUUUCAGGAGGGACGAAGGUUCACCGGUGAAUAGCCGUGUGGAUUGACGGUACCUCCAGAAGAAGCUCCGGCUAACUACGUGCCAGCAGCCGCGGUAAUACGUAGGGAGCAAGCGUUGUCCGGAAUCAUUGGGCGUAAAGCGCGCGUAGGCGGCCCCGUAAGUCCGCUGUGAAAGUCAAAGGCUCAACCUUUGAAAGCCGGUGGAUACUGUGGGGCUAGAGUCCGGAAGAGGCGAGUGGAAUUCCUGGUGUAGCGGUGGAAUGCGCAGAUAUCAGGAGGAACACCAAUAGCGAAGGCAGCUCGCUGGGACGGUACUGACGCUAAGGCGCGAAAGCGUGGGGAGCGAACAGG
This 429-nucleotide ribosomal RNA is filed under the name Bacillota bacterium. Its description in RNAcentral is "Firmicutes bacterium partial 16S ribosomal RNA". It matches the Rfam family "Bacterial small subunit ribosomal RNA", at positions 355 to 776 of the family's 1533-position model. The record is from RNAcentral. Lineage: Bacteria; Bacillati; Bacillota. RNAcentral also lists the same sequence under 1 other name.